Molecule: ribosomal RNA, 1235 nt
Filed under: Triticum aestivum (bread wheat)
Lineage: Eukaryota; Viridiplantae; Streptophyta; Magnoliopsida; Poales; Poaceae
Description: partial small subunit ribosomal RNA
Source: RNAcentral
AUGCAUCGCACAGCCAGCCUCCUCCUCCUGAUCAUCAUAAGCGCCAGUUCAUUCUUCACGGGUGGUGCGCCGCAACCCCCGAGUUCCCAUGGUGGUGGUUGCAUCGCCGCCGAGAGGACUGCCUUGCUCUCCUUCAAAGAGGGCAUCACAAGUGACCCCGCCGGCCUCCUUGCCUCGUGGCGUGGCCAGGACUGCAGCCGGUGGAGAGGCGUCAACUGCAGCAACCAGACCGGCCAUGUCAUCAGGCUUCGCCUCCGCUCUCCAAACCCGGACUUUUUUCCUGUGUUCCUGGGCCAGAUGAGGAACCUGAGAUACCUCAACCUCACCGGCUUAACGAUGUUUACCGGUAGGGUGCCUCCACAGCUCGGUAACCUGUCCAAGAUGCAGUAUCUGUCCAUCGGCCAGGCUGGUAGUCGCUCUCAGAUGUACUCUGAUGACAUCACCUGGUUAACAAACCUUCGUUUGCUACAGCACGUUAGCAUCGGAGGGAUAAAUCUCUCUGGGAUACAUGACUGGCCUCAUACGCUGAACAUGAUCCCGUCUCUAAGGGUUAUCAGUCUCAGUGAUUGUUCGCUUCAGAGCGCAAACCAAUCGCUUCCAUACCUCAAUCUCACAAGACUUGAGAAGCUUGAUCUUUCCUGGAACAGUUUUGACCACUCAAUAGCAACUAGUUGGUUUUGGAAAGCCACAAGCCUCAAGUACCUCAAUCUUCAGGCCAACAGAUUAUCCGGCCAAUUUCCCGACGCACUAGGAAACAUGACAUCCCUUCAAGUCCUUGACGUGUCAGAAAAUUGGAACAAGUAUUUGAUGGUGACAGGAAACCUGAAGAAUCUUUGCAGUCUGAAUAUUCUAGACUUCAGCAAUAAUGAAAUAAAUGGAGAUAUAGCAGUCAUGAUGGGGGGUUUGCCAGAAUGCGCAUGGGAAUCUUUGCAAGAGCUAGAUUUCAGCUACAACAGUUUAACUGGAACAUUGCCAAAUUUGAUAGGUACAUUCAGCAGCUUGAGGAGACUUAAACUCAACAAGAACAACCUCACCGGAAGUAUCCCACCGGGCAUUGGGUAUUUAACAUGCUUAGCUGCCCUUGACCUUUCGAACAACUGCUUCAGUGGAAGCGUACCCUUUGAAAUUGGUUCCCUAACUAAUCUAUCUUCUUUGGAUCUAAGCAACAACAACUUCAGUGGUAUUGUGCCAUCUGAAAUUGGUGCCCUUAGUGAUCUGACUUCUUUGGUCCUAAG